RNAcentral lists this transfer RNA (75 nucleotides) under Akkermansiaceae bacterium. RNAcentral describes it as "tRNA-Trp". It matches the Rfam family "tRNA". From Rfam's summary of the family: Transfer RNA (tRNA) molecules are approximately 80 nucleotides in length. Lineage: Bacteria; Pseudomonadati; Verrucomicrobiota; Verrucomicrobiia; Verrucomicrobiales; Akkermansiaceae. The record is from RNAcentral. RNAcentral also lists the same sequence under 3 other names.
AGGGAAGUAGUUCAAUGGUAGAGCGUCGGUUUCCAAAACCGAAAGUUGCAGGUUCGAGUCCUGUCUUCCCUGCCA